This 497-nucleotide ribosomal RNA is filed under the name uncultured bacterium. RNAcentral's name for it is "partial 16S ribosomal RNA". It matches the Rfam family "Bacterial small subunit ribosomal RNA", at positions 28 to 507 of the family's 1533-position model. The record is from RNAcentral.
GAUGAACGCUGGCGGCGUGCCUAAUACAUGCAAGUCGAGCGAACGGACGAGAAGCUUGCUUCUCUGAUGUUAGCCGCGGACGGGUGAGUAACACGUGUAUAACCUACCUAUAAGACUGGGAUAACUUCGGGAAACCGGAGCUAAUACCGGAUAAUAUUUUGAACCGCAUGGUUCAAAAGUGAAAGACGGUCUUGCUGUCACUUAUAGAUGGAUCCGCGCUGCAUUAGCUAGUUGGUAAGGUCACGGCUUACCAAGGCAACGAUGCAUAGCCGACCUGAGAGGGUGAUCGGCCACACUGGAACUGAGACACGGUCCAGGCUCCUACGGGAGGCAGCAGUAGGGAAUCUUCCGCAAUGGGCGAAAGCCUGACGGAGCAACGCCGCGUGAGUGAUGAAGGUCUUCGGAUCGUAAAACUCUGUUAUUAGGGAAGAACAUAUGUGUAAGUAACUGUGCACAUCUUGACGGUACCUAAUCAGAAAGCCACGGCUAACUACGUG